RNAcentral lists this ribosomal RNA (735 nucleotides) under Triticum aestivum (bread wheat). RNAcentral's name for it is "partial small subunit ribosomal RNA". The record is from RNAcentral. Lineage: Eukaryota; Viridiplantae; Streptophyta; Magnoliopsida; Poales; Poaceae.
ACGUGGGAUGCAGUCAAGGUUUUGGGUAUUGUUGAGGAUGAUGUGCGUGUUCCAUGUACGACAGGAGGUUUGGUUUAUCAAAUGAAGACUUUUAGCUUUGUGUUCAUCCUGAAGAUGAUGCUAAAAAUCCUUCGCAUGACAAAUGAUUUGUUUCUUCUAUUGCAAAAGAAGGAUCAAAAUGUUGUUCAGGCAAUGUCAUUGGUUACGGAUGUGAGAACACGUUUGAUCAACUGGAGAAAUCAUGGUUGGGAGCCACUCUUGGAAGAUGUCAAAGCCUUUUGCACCAAAAACGACAUUCCGAUACCAAAUAUGGAUGACAUCUUUACAAAGUGGGGAAAAUCAAGAAAAGGUGGACGAAACAAUGUCACGGCUAAUCAUUUUUUCCGCGUGGACACCUUCUAUGCUGCCAUUGACUCCAUCACCACAGAGUUUGAUCGUCGUUUUAAUGAGGUAUCUUCAGAUCUGCUCCAGAACUUCUCUUGUCUUGACCCAAGAAACUGCUUUUCUAGGUUCAAUGUGAAUAAGCUUGCUAGACUCACAGAGAUUUAUCAUGAAGAUUUCUCAGAUUAUGAACGUGAACAUAUAGUUGAUAACCUAGAGCUAUUCAUUAUCCAUAUGAGAAGAAUUGAAGACUUUAGAGCUUGUCAUGAUAUUGCAAGUCUAGCUAAAAAGAUGGUUGAACUUGAAAGACAUGUCAUGUUUCCUGCUGUUUAUCGCCUCAUUGAGUUGGCAUUG